This is a long non-coding RNA of Dermacentor andersoni, 448 nucleotides long. RefSeq lists it as uncharacterized. NCBI's taxonomy places the organism in Eukaryota, Metazoa, Arthropoda, Arachnida, Ixodida, Ixodidae. The record is from RefSeq and is a predicted model, not a curated record.
UGGUGGUAACAGCUGGACUAGGACUGGCUGCCAUCGGAUGCACAGCAGGAGUCAUUACUCUUUCGUUGCUGCCAAACGAUAAAGAAACAGGCACAUCAAACAAUGAAACCCCUAAGGCGCCCGAAGGCAAAUGACGGACCUUGAUGACGGACCUUGAUGACGGGCCUUGAUGACGGGCCUUGAUGACGGGCCUUGAUGACGGGCCUUGAUGACGGGCCUUGAUGACGGGCCUUGAUGACGGGCCUUGAUGACGGACCUUGACGACGGACCACACAGACCACGCGGACUUGAAAUGACGGAAUUGCAGACGCACCUUCUAAGGGGCGGUCUGCGUGGUUAAUUGAAAAGUAAGCCGACAAGUGUAGAAGGGCCUAUUUGCAAUUUCUGGAAUUAUCUAACAGCUUUGAUGGCAUUUUCUAUGAAUAAAAAUGAGGUGUUUCGUACCACA